This 468-nucleotide ribosomal RNA is filed under the name uncultured bacterium. RNAcentral describes it as "partial 16S ribosomal RNA". It matches the Rfam family "Bacterial small subunit ribosomal RNA", at positions 28 to 507 of the family's 1533-position model. The record is from RNAcentral.
GACGAACGCUGGCGGCGUGCUUAACACAUGCAAGUCGAACGGAAAGGCCCUGCUUUUGUGGGGUGCUCGAGUGGCGAACGGGUGAGUAACACGUGAGUAACCUGCCCUUGACUUUGGGAUAACUUCAGGAAACUGGGGCUAAUACCGGAUAGGAGCUCCUGAUGCAUGGUGGGGGUUGGAAAGUUUCGGCGGUUGGGGAUGGACUCGCGGCUUAUCAGCUUGUUGGUGGGGUAGUGGCUUACCAAGGCUUUGACGGGUAGCCGGCCUGAGAGGGUGACCGGCCACAUUGGGACUGAGAUACGGCCCAGACUCCUACGGUAGGCAGCAGUGGGGAAUAUUGCACAAUGGGCGGAAGCCUGAUGCAGCAACGCCGCGUGCGUGAUGACGGCCUUCGGGGUGUAAACCGCUUUCGCCUGUGACGAAGCGUGAGUGACGGUAAUGGGUAAAGAAGCACCGGCUAACUACGUG